Macaca mulatta (Rhesus monkey) is the source of this 1948-nucleotide long non-coding RNA. NCBI's taxonomy places the organism in Eukaryota, Metazoa, Chordata, Mammalia, Primates, Cercopithecidae. The record is from Ensembl.
CAUGGUGAUGUUUAGGAAUACUAUAUUACAUUAUAACAGAACUGACUGUAGUUUUACAAUGCAAGUUUUGGGAUGUUAGGUUAAUAUUGCUGUGAGGGGGAGAAAGUGGGACACAACUUUUAUCCCACUAAUUAUCCCCAAGCCCCAGAUUGCAUAAUAUAUAGUAAAGGUCUUUAUCAAAAGGGGACAAUAUAUAGAUGCUCUGGGGGAAAAUACUAUGCAUCUGUAUAUUAAAUAUACAUUAAAUGAUUAAGAAAUUACCCUCUUAGGUCUAGUCUUAUCUUCAUGAAUUUUUUUUUCUUCUUUUCAUGUGUCAGAGAAGAGAGGUGACCCUUCUUCAACUCUAUAGGCAUGCCACAAAUUCCUCUGUGGACCCAUGAACAUGGAUAUUACCAGAUGCCAAGAGUCUGCAAAACAGCCAGUGAAGCUCCCCAGAGAGAGAGAAUAAAAACUCCCCUUUUCUGCCAGUUCUACAGCGCUACCUCUCCGACCACACGACUGGACACAAACAUUCUUCCAGUUGCCAGAGGCAGCACAUCGCUGAGAGGUGGCGUCGUGGGGGACCACCUCAGGGUUUAUGGAUUCCCUCCUGACGUGGAGAUUCCUGAGAGAAUCUGCAAGCUCUUCGAAUGCUAAGGCAUCUGGCCUUUUAAACAAGCUGGAAAGAAGAGAUACAUACCACCACCAAGCAUAAGAAAAAAUGCUCAACAUCUCUAACCAUUAGAGAAAUGCAAGUCAAAACCACAAUGAGAUACCAUUUCAUACCAUUCAAAAUGUCUAUUAUUAAAAAGUCAAAAAAUAACAGAUGCUGCUGAGGUUGCAGAGAAAAGGGAAUGCUUACACACUGCUGGUGGAAAUGUAAAUUAGUUCAACCAUUGUGGAAAUCAGUGUGUCAAUUCCUCAAAGAACUUAAAACAGAAUUACCAUUCGACUCAGCAAUCUCAUUAUUGGGUAUAUACCCCCAAAAUAUAAAUCAUUCUACCAUAAAGACACGUGCAUGUGUAUGUUCAUCUCAGCACUAUUAAAAAUAGCAAAGACAUGGGAUCAACCCAAAGCCCAUCAACAGUAGAUUCAAUAAAGAAAAUAUGGUACUGAUAUACCAUGGAAUACUAUGCAGCUAUAAAAAAGAAUAAGAUCACGUCCUUUGCAGCAACACGGGUGGAGCUGGACACCAUUAUCCUAAGCAAACUAAUGCAGAAUCAGAAAACCAAAUACCACAGGUUCUUACUUAUAUGUGGACACUAAGAGGGGAACACGUGGACAGUAAGAAGGGAACAACAGACACUGGGGCCUACCUGAGGGUGGAAGGUGGGAGGAGGGAGAGGAUUUAAGAAACUACCUAUCUGGUACUAUGUUUAUUACCUGAGUGACAAAAUAAUCUGUACACCAAACUCCUGUGACAUAUCGCUUACCUAUAUAACAAACCUGAAUAUGUACCCCUGAACCUAAAAUAAAAGUUAAAAAGCAUAAGCUGAAUGCCAUGUUUCUCAAGCUCCAGUAAUGUGCCACACGUUCCUAUUACAGUGUUAUUAUACUCUGAGUACAAACUUCUUGUGCUUGUAGCUCUUGACUCUAAAAGAACUAUUAAAUGGAAAAAAUGCAUCAAUGCAUCAAUUUUAUACAAACAAUUCAACUGCUAUUUUAAUAACAUUCAGAAAAAUACCAUUAUUUGGAUAUGGCUGAUAAUGUUUGCCUGAAACUAUUCUAUGACUUAAAGGUGAAAAUGGCACUGAUGGCUGUAGUUUGGGUUGUUGGAUAUUAUGCACUUGGGAAGGUGUUUCUACUGUGGUGUGCAAAGAUUUAAUUCUCCUUUUUGCUUGUGUCUGAGCUACUUAAACCUUGGUUUGUCAAGUACAUCAAUUCUCCACUUGGUUCUAACACCUUCUUUUCACAUUAAAAUUGUUAGUGUUUCAUUAGCCACAGCAAUUAAAAAUUGCACACCUAGCAC